GACGAACGCUGGCGGCGUGCUUAACACAUGCAAGUCGAACGGAAAGGCCCUGCUUUUGUGGGGUGCUCGAGUGGCGAACGGGUGAGUAACACGUGAGUAACCUGCCCUUGACUUUGGGAUAACUUCAGGAAACUGGGGCUAAUACCGGAUAGGAGCUCCUGCUGCAUGGUGGGGGUUGGAAAGUUUCGGCGGUUGGGGAUGGACUCGCGGCUUAUCAGCUUGUUGGUGGGGUAGUGGCUUACCAAGGCUUUGACGGGUAGCCGGCCUGAGAGGGUGACCGGCCACAUUGGGACUGAGAUACGGCGCAGACUGCUACGGGAGGCAGUAGGGGGGAAUAUUGCACAAUGAGCGGAAGCCUGAGGCAGCGACGCCGCGUGCGGGAUGACGGCCUUCGGGUUGUAAACCGCUUUCGCCUGUGACGAAGCGUGAGUGACGGUAAUGGGUAAAGAAGCACCGGCUAACUACGUG
This 468-nucleotide ribosomal RNA is filed under the name uncultured bacterium. RNAcentral's name for it is "partial 16S ribosomal RNA". It matches the Rfam family "Bacterial small subunit ribosomal RNA", at positions 28 to 507 of the family's 1533-position model. The record is from RNAcentral.